RNAcentral lists this ribosomal RNA (676 nucleotides) under uncultured bacterium. Its description in RNAcentral is "bacterial SSU rRNA". It matches the Rfam family "Bacterial small subunit ribosomal RNA", at positions 43 to 706 of the family's 1533-position model. The record is from RNAcentral.
CAGGCUUAACACAUUGCAAGUCGAGGGGCAGCAUUUUAGUUUGCUUGCAAACUAAAGAUGGCGACCGGCGCACGGGUGAGUAACAAGUAUCCAACCUGCCGAUAACUCGGGGAUAGCCUUUCGAAAGAAAGAUUAAUAUCCGAUGGUAUAUUAAAACCGCAUGGUUUUACUAUUAAAGAAUUUCGGUUAUCGAUGGGGAUGCGUUCCAUUAGUUUGUUGGCGGGGUAACGGCCCACCAAGACUACGAUGGAUAGGGGUUCUGAGAGGAAGGUCCCCCACAUUGGAACUGAGACACGGUCCAAACUCCUACGGGAGGCAGCAGUGAGGAAUAUUGGUCAAUGGACGAGAGUCUGAACCAGCCAAGUAGCGUGAAGGAUGACUGCCCUAUGGGUUGUAAACUUCUUUUAUAUGGGAAUAAAGUAUUCCACGUGUGGGAUUUUGUAUGUACCAUAUGAAUAAGGAUCGGCUAACUCCGUGCCAGCAGCCGCGGUAAUACGGAGGAUCCGAGCGUUAUCCGGAUUUAUUGGGUUUAAAGGGAGCGUAGGUGGAUUGUUAAGUCAGUUGUGAAAGUUUGCGGCUCAACCGUAAAAUUGCAGUUGAAACUGGCAGUCUUGAGUACAGUAGAGGUGGGCGGAAUUCGUGGUGUAGCGGUGAAAUGCUUAGAUAUCACGAAGAA